GCAUCCAUAGCUCAGUUGGAUAGAGUUACGGACUUCGAAUCCGGAGGUCGUGAGUUCGAAUCUCACUGGAUGUA
Molecule: transfer RNA, 74 nt
Filed under: Clostridium cavendishii DSM 21758
Lineage: Bacteria; Bacillati; Bacillota; Clostridia; Eubacteriales; Clostridiaceae
Rfam family: tRNA
About the family: Transfer RNA (tRNA) molecules are approximately 80 nucleotides in length. Their secondary structure includes four short double-helical elements and three loops (D, anti-codon, and T loops).
Source: Rfam by way of RNAcentral